GGGAGUUAAUUGUAACGAAAUAUAGAUAAGAUAUUUGUAUUGUUGACGCAUAGGGAUAGAUAGUUGGAACCAUGUUUGAGAAGUUUAUAGAAGUUUCUAGAAUUAGAACUAGAUUAGUGGACUAUGUAGGAUCUACCAUAGAAUAUUCUAAAAAGAACUUAAGAUACUUAUCUAGGUGGGAUAUACCAUUAAAAAUAUUCUAGAAAGUUCUAAGAUAAUUGAAUAAAAUAUAAAUAGGACUAGCUAGGGCCAUUUGGGCAUUUGAUCAGGUAUGGCUUU
This 279-nucleotide long non-coding RNA is filed under the name Physcomitrium patens. Its description in RNAcentral is "long non-coding RNA (PPAT_LNC005716)". The record is from RNAcentral. Lineage: Eukaryota; Viridiplantae; Streptophyta; Bryopsida; Funariales; Funariaceae.